RNAcentral lists this ribosomal RNA (896 nucleotides) under Micropsalliota pseudoarginea. Its description in RNAcentral is "partial large subunit ribosomal RNA". It matches the Rfam family "Eukaryotic large subunit ribosomal RNA", at positions 68 to 949 of the family's 3401-position model. The record is from RNAcentral. Lineage: Eukaryota; Fungi; Basidiomycota; Agaricomycetes; Agaricales; Agaricaceae.
UACAGGAUUCCCCUAGUAACUGCGAGUGAAGCGGGAAAAGCUCAAAUUUAAAAUCUGGCGGUCUUUGGCUGUCCGAGUUGUAAUCUAGAGAAGUAAUGCCCGUGCUGGACCGUAUAUAAGUCUCCUGGGAUGGAGCAUCAUAGAGGGUGAGAAUCCCGUCUUUGAUACGGACUACCAGUGCAUUGUGGUAUGCUCUCAACGAGUCGAGUUGUUUGGGAAUGCAGCUCAAAAUGGGUGGUAAAUUCCAUCUAAAGCUAAAUAUUGGCGAGAGACCGAUAGCGAACAAGUACCGUGAGGGAAAGAUGAAAAGAACUUUGGAAAGAGAGUUAAACAGUACGUGAAAUUGCUGAAAGGGAAACGCUUGAAGUCAGUCACGUCUGCUGGGAAUCAGCCUCGCUCCUGCGUGGUGUACUUUCUGGUAUGACGGGUCAGCAUCAGUUUUGACCACUGGAAAAAGGUGUGGGGAAUGUGACAGCUCCGGCUGUGUUAUAGCCUCAUAUUGUAUACAGUGGUUGGGACUGAGGAACGCAGCACGCCGAAAGGCCGGGUCUUUGACCACGUUCGUGCUUAGGAUGCUGGCAUAAUGGCUUUAAGCGACCCGUCUUGAAACACGGACCAAGGAGUCUAACAUGCCUGCGAGUGUUUGGGUGGAAAACUCGAGCGCGCAAUGAAAGUGAAAGUUGAGAUCCCUGUCGUGGGGAGCAUCGACGCCCGGACCAGAACUUUUGGGACGGAUCCGCGGUAGAGCAUGUAUGUUGGGACCCGAAAGAUGGUGAACUAUGCCUGAAUAGGGUGAAGCCAGAGGAAACUCUGGUGGAGGCUCGUAGCGGUUCUGACGUGCAAAUCGAUCGUCAAAUUUGGGUAUAGGGGCCAAAGACUAAUCGAACCAUCUAGUA